GCCGAGGUGGUGGAACUGGUAGACACGCUAUCUUGAGGGGGUAGUGGAUUACGUCCGUGCGGGUUCGAGUCCCGCCCUCGGCA
The sequence is a transfer RNA, 83 nucleotides long. It matches the Rfam family "tRNA". From Rfam's summary of the family: Transfer RNA (tRNA) molecules are approximately 80 nucleotides in length. The record is from Rfam.